ACUGGUAUGUGUGGGGCUCCAGCCACUUAGUUGGAAUUCACCAUGAACUGCAUCUCGAGGAUCAAGUUUAGGCUCCCCAGUCCAUUGUGACAUCCAGCAAAGUGGAGGUCUCACUCUGUUGCCCAGGCUGGAGUGCAGUGGUGCAUCCACGGCUCACUGCAGCCUAGAUCUUCAGGGCUCAAGCCAUCCUCCCACCUCAGCCUCUUGAGUCGCUGGGACUACAGGGUCUCACUCUGUCACCCAAGUUGGAAUGCAGCAGCAUGAUCACAGCUCAUUGCAGCCUUGACUUCCCAGUCUCAAGCAAUCCUCCCAUCUCAGCCUCUUGAGUAGCUGGGACCACA
RNAcentral lists this long non-coding RNA (341 nucleotides) under Homo sapiens (human). RNAcentral's name for it is "PREDICTED lncRNA (TCONS_00276078)". Lineage: Eukaryota; Metazoa; Chordata; Mammalia; Primates; Hominidae. The record is from RNAcentral.